UGGGAGGUAAAUUUCUCCUAAGGCUAAAUAACGGCGAGAGACCGAUAGCGAACAAGUACCGUGAGGGAAAGAUGAAAAGUACUUUGAAAAGAGAGUUAAACAGUACGUGAAAUUGUUGAAAGGGAAACGAUUGAAGCCAGUCGUACCAGCGGAUAAUCAACCUUUAGAUGCGAUUUUAUGGAGUGUGAGGAGCUAAUCGCCUUCAUGCCUGUAUAUUCGUAUACUUGGGGUGUACUUAUUCGUGUGGUAAGUUAACAUCAAUUUUGGUUGUCAUAAAAUGAUUGGAGGAAUGUAGCUUCGAUCUUGUAUUGAAGUGUUAUAGCCUUCGGUAGACGUGACGAUCGGGAUUGAGGAUUGCAACGGAUACCCUUCGGGGCUACCUGUCUGAUCUCUGAUUGUUGCUCUGGUGCUGAAAGCUUGCUUAUAGUAUCAAAGUCGAUGGUUAAUAGGUUAGAAUGGGUUAAAUUCGUUAAGGAUGUUGACGUAAUGGCUUUAAACGACCCGUCUUGAAACACGGACCAAGGAGUCUAACAUAUAUGCGAGUGUUAGGGUAAUUAAACCCUUACGCGUAAUGAAAGUAAUUUUGGUGGGAUCACUUUUGUGCACCAUCGACC
Molecule: ribosomal RNA, 614 nt
Filed under: uncultured Glomeromycotina
Lineage: Eukaryota; Fungi; Glomeromycota
Description: eukaryotic LSU rRNA
Rfam family: Eukaryotic large subunit ribosomal RNA
Source: RNAcentral